RNAcentral lists this transfer RNA (60 nucleotides) under Camelus bactrianus (Bactrian camel). It matches the Rfam family "tRNA", at positions 14 to 71 of the family's 71-position model. From Rfam's summary of the family: Transfer RNA (tRNA) molecules are approximately 80 nucleotides in length. Their secondary structure includes four short double-helical elements and three loops (D, anti-codon, and T loops). Further hydrogen bonds mediate the characteristic L-shaped molecular structure. tRNAs have two regions of fundamental functional importance: the anti-codon, which is responsible for specific mRNA codon recognition, and the 3' end, to which the tRNAs corresponding amino acid is attached (by aminoacyl-tRNA synthetases). tRNAs cope with the degeneracy of the genetic code in two manners: having more than one tRNA (with a specific anti-codon) for a particular amino acid; and 'wobble' base-pairing, i.e. permitting non-standard base-pairing at the 3rd anti-codon position. RNAcentral also lists the same sequence under 2 other names. Lineage: Eukaryota; Metazoa; Chordata; Mammalia; Artiodactyla; Camelidae. The record is from Rfam by way of RNAcentral.
GGAGGGUAGAGCGCAUGCUUAACAUGCAUGAGGUCCUGGGUUCAAUCCCCAGAACCUCCU